This is a long non-coding RNA of Drosophila miranda, 678 nucleotides long. RefSeq lists it as uncharacterized. The transcript is spliced from 2 exons. The record is from RefSeq and is a predicted model, not a curated record. NCBI's taxonomy places the organism in Eukaryota, Metazoa, Arthropoda, Insecta, Diptera, Drosophilidae.
UCACAUAAUGUUAUCCAAUCAAUGAACCUAUUUUCUACUGGUUUAUUUUCAAUACUUGCUCCUAUUGGAUUUUGUCUAAAGAAAGGUUAGCGAAAACGGUCAAACCAAUAAAACGGCAGAUACAACGAAUCAGAAACCAUAAUCACCAGCAGAUUGCAUCCAUAUCAGGCAAAGUGUUUAGUGGUGAAAAUGGAAUGCGAAGGGAUCCUGAUCCCAUACAAUCGAGAUAACAUUCAUAACACAUUGCUCCCACGAAUUGGGAGACAGAGUCAAAAGCCGAAAUAGCCUAAAUGACCAUUCAUUCUCCGAUCCGAUACCACAGAACCGAUUCUCAAAUCCUAGAUGAAUUUAUUAAAACGCUGCAGGAAACAGAAAUCUUUUGAGAUUCGCGAAUUAUUUUAGGUUAUUCGAUUAACACAGCUUUAAUUAUAACUCAAAAUUUCAAAAAGUGACAACAAUUUUCAAAAGUCAAACCGCAGCGUUGGCGUGCGAUGUCCCCAGGCCACAGAGCUCGGUACUGUCGGUCUGGCUAUCGACCUGCAAGCUCCAUAGGACCCAUUGAGCAAGGCAACAGCAGCAGCUUGCUCUGCUCUGAACAGGAUGCCAUAGCCAGCACAACAUCUCCUGCAGUAGUGUGGGGGUUUUUUUAUCUGUCCAGUUUCCAAACAGUUUCCAAAA